Molecule: ribosomal RNA, 468 nt
Filed under: uncultured bacterium
Lineage: Bacteria
Description: partial 16S ribosomal RNA
Rfam family: Bacterial small subunit ribosomal RNA
Source: RNAcentral
GACGAACGCUGGCGGCGUGCUUAACACAUGCAAGUCGAACGGAAAGGCCCUGCUUUUGUGGGGUGCUCGAGUGGCGAACGGGUGAGUAACACGUGAGUAACCUGCCCUUGACUUUGGGAUAACUUCAGGAAACUGGGGCUAAUACCGGAUAGGAGAUCCUGCUGCAUGGUGGGGGUUGGAAAGUUUCGGCGGUAGGGGAUGGACUCGCGGCUUAUCAGCUUGUUGGUGGGGUAGUGGCUUACCAAGGCUUUGACGGGUAGCCGGCCUGAGAGGGUGGCCGGCCACAUUGGGACUGAGAUACGGCGCAGACUCCUACGUGAGGCAGCAGUGGGGAAUCUUGCACAAUGGGCGGAAGCCUGAUGCAGCAACGCCGCGUGCGUGAUGCCGGCCUUCUGGUUGUAAACCGCUUUCGCCUGUGACGAAGCGGGAGUGACGGUAAUGGGUAAAGAAGCACCGGCUAACUACGUG